AGUGAACGCUGGCGGUAGGCCUAACACAUGCAAGUCGAACGGCAGCACAGUAAGAGCUUGCUCUUACGGGUGGCGAGUGGCGGACGGGUGAGGAAUACAUCGGAAUCUACUUUUUCGUGGGGGAUAACGUAGGGAAACUUACGCUAAUAUCGCAUACGACCUACGGGUGAAAGUAGGGGAUCUUCGGACCUUGCGCGAUUGAAUGAGCCGAUGUCGGAUUAGCUAGUUGGCGGGGUAAAGGCCCACCAAGGCGACGAUCCGUAGCUGGUCUGAGAGGAUGAUCAGCCACACUGGAACUGAGACACGGUCCAGACUCCUACGGGAGGCAGCAGUGGGGAAUAUUGGACAAUGGGCGCAAGCCUGAUCCAGCCAUACCGCGUGGGUGAAGAAGGCCUUCGGGUUGUAAAGCCCUUUUGUUGGGAAAGAAAAGCAGCAGGUUAAUACCCCGCUGUUCUGACGGUACCCAAAGAAUAAGCACCGGCUAACUUCGUG
RNAcentral lists this ribosomal RNA (492 nucleotides) under uncultured bacterium. RNAcentral describes it as "partial 16S ribosomal RNA". It matches the Rfam family "Bacterial small subunit ribosomal RNA", at positions 29 to 507 of the family's 1533-position model. The record is from RNAcentral.